Long non-coding RNA from Amphimedon queenslandica, 386 nucleotides. RefSeq lists it as uncharacterized. The record is from RefSeq and is a predicted model, not a curated record. The transcript has 4 exons. Lineage: Eukaryota; Metazoa; Porifera; Demospongiae; Haplosclerida; Niphatidae.
GAAUUUAUUGGAUCACUUAGGAAAGGAUUAUGAUGUUGACGUACUCUCUUGGUCUAAUAGCCUUUUAUCACAAUUGGAAGAUCCAGUUGAUUCAACACUGGUGUUUAAUUUUGAAGCAGAACAGGAAAUUAAUCAUGGUUAUGAAGAAGAUGCUUUUGAUUUAGUUGAUUUGAAUGCCGACUGUGGAGAUGAUGGUACAAGCAGUGAUACUGAUAAAAAUGUUGAAGAGACGAUACAUGAGCAAGCUGAUGAGCAAGAGUUAGAUGAUUUGGGUUCAAGUAGAACUGAUCAAGGUAAUGUUACAUCUCUUGAUACCUCUACAACUGAUAUCAGUACUAAUGAUAGUGACAACAGUCAUGUUUUGCCUUGGAAAGGGUUUAAGCUUG